This 253-nucleotide ribosomal RNA is filed under the name uncultured bacterium. Its description in RNAcentral is "partial 16S ribosomal RNA". It matches the Rfam family "Bacterial small subunit ribosomal RNA", at positions 524 to 776 of the family's 1533-position model. The record is from RNAcentral.
UACAGAGGUCUCAAGCGUUGUUCGGAUUCAUUGGGCGUAAAGGGUGCGUAGGCGGCGCGGUAAGUCGGGUGUGAAAUCUCGGGGCUUAACUCCGAAACUGCAUUCGAUACUGCCGUGCUUGAGGACUGGAGAGGAGACUGGAAUUUACGGUGUAGCGGUGAAAUGCGUAGAUAUCGUAAGGAAGACCAGUGGCGAAGGCGGGUCUCUGGACAUUUCCUGACGCUGAGGCACGAAGGCCAGGGGAGCAAACAGG